This 440-nucleotide ribosomal RNA is filed under the name uncultured bacterium. RNAcentral's name for it is "bacterial SSU rRNA". It matches the Rfam family "Bacterial small subunit ribosomal RNA", at positions 338 to 768 of the family's 1533-position model. The record is from RNAcentral.
CCUACGGGAGGCAGCAGUGGGGAAUUUUGGGCAAUGGCCGAAAGGCUGACCCAGCGACGCCGCGUGCGGGAGGACGCCCUUCGGGGUGUAAACCGCUGUCAGAGGGGACGAACGGCCUCGGGGUGAACAGCCCCGGGGAUUGACGGUACCCUCAAAGGAAGCACCGGCUAACUCUGUGCCAGCAGCCGCGGUAAUACAGAGGGUGCGAGCGUUGUUCGGAAUCACUGGGCGUAAAGCGCGCGCAGGCGGACGUUGCAAGUCUGGAGUGAAAUCCCGCCGCUCAACGGCGGGGCUGCUUCGGAGACUGUGCGUCUGGGGACCGGUAGAGGCUGGUAGAAUUGCAGGUGUAGCGGUGGAAUGCGUAGAGAUCUGCAAGAAUACCCGUGGCGAAGGCGGCCAGCUGGGCCGGAUCCGACGCUGAGGCGCGAAAGCGUGGGGAG